Paramisgurnus dabryanus is the source of this 958-nucleotide long non-coding RNA. RefSeq lists it as uncharacterized. The record is from RefSeq and is a predicted model, not a curated record. Lineage: Eukaryota; Metazoa; Chordata; Actinopteri; Cypriniformes; Cobitidae.
CUAAACAUGCUUUAUCAACGUAAUAAACUUUAUAAAAACAUUUAUUUUUAUUUUUUUAUUAAUUAUCAAGUAUAAAGAACAAUGCAUAGUGUGAAAACGCGGAUCAUAAAAAAGUAUAUUAAGUGCGAGCAGAGGAUCAAGAAGAAACAACGCCAAAGGACUUCAUUUCCCAGGAUGCACCUGCACCCACUCAUCUGCCUUCAGGUGCGACCGCUUUACCUAUGGGCUUGACGGGAAGAUUCAAAAUCGCGAACCGUUACUGCAUGGAGUUGGUCUCUUUGUUUGCUCAUCGACAUUACGAGGUCAUGUACACUGUGGUCAACUUUGUGGACGAUGAAGAGGUUUCUAGGUAAAGAUGAUAGAAAUAUAAUGAAGUAACAGUGAAAGCUAAAACAUCAGACUGAUCCAGACACUGAAGAAAUUGAUGUCACUGCAAUCUGGCCAAAAUGAUACAACUAUAUUGAACUAGCCUACUGUAAUGAAGCUGCAGAACAACACAGAGACUCUGAGGACAUCAACACAGAAAAUGAAGGCUCCAAAGAGAUGUCUGUCCAGAUGAGGGUGCAUCAACUUUACCUUUGCUGACAACAGUUAACUUAACUCAAACCAUUUAAGGAAAUCGGUUGCCUUAAACCAUUAAGUUUUAAAAAACAUACAUUUAACUACUGUGAACUUAAGUCUUGUGCAAUUAUGCACUUAUAUUUAGGUAGUGUGAACUUAAAUAUAAGUGCAUAACUGCAUGUGACUCAAUUUUUUUAAGUUCACAGUACUCAAAUCUAUGUGUUUUAAAACUUCAAUGGUUUUAAAUGUGAGAAAUGACAGUGUUACAGUGAGAAAUGUUUGAAUAAUUCCAAGACAGAGCUCUGCUAUUGAAUCUACACUGCAAAAAAUCACUUUCUAACUUAGGAUUUUUAUCUUGUCUCAGUAGAAAAACUAAAAAUUCUUAAAUCAAGAUGUA